Molecule: long non-coding RNA, 2105 nt
Filed under: Homo sapiens (human)
Lineage: Eukaryota; Metazoa; Chordata; Mammalia; Primates; Hominidae
Description: HSALNT0085251
Source: RNAcentral
AAAAAGUGAGUGUAAAUAUGAGUGCAGAACUGCCUCUGGGCUGCUAUUCUGGGCACACUGCCUAUGGAGUAGCCCUGCUCUGCAAGGGGCAGUACCUCCAUGGUUGCUGUAACCCUGCUGCUUCAAUAAAAAUUACUGUUUAACAUCUGCUAUGUAUAGCCACCCUUUCUACCAAUCUUAUGUUAUCCCCUACGAUCUAGUUACAUCACAGAAAGAAGAAAUGGACUGCCUAAAACAUCAAAACCUAUGAUCUUCACUUCUAGACAAUUUCCUUCUAUCUCUCUGCAUUUUAAUUCAAUUCCUUUUUUGUGAGGAAUAAACUUUCCUAUGUACAAUGUGCCACUGCUGAUAUCUACUCUCCUCUGUUCUCUAAUCUACUCCUCCUAACACAUGUGCACACACACAACCCAACACACACAGAAACACACACAGACAUAAUUCACCUGCACACAAUCUCAUAUACAUGCACAUGCACUUACACAUACAUCACCUUUCACUGCGUGUCAGAUACUCUCCUUGGAUGUUUGAGAAAACAUUCAUACAUUGCAAUAAGUAUUAUUGUCUACUGUGUGCUAGGCACUCUUCAAUAUAAUUUAAAUACAGCAGUGAAGACAACAGUCCAAAAGCUUGUACCUACACCCGGUAGAUGUCUCAUGCAAAUAUACAAAGAAAAUUAUAUAGUACAGUAAGUCUUCAGUAAAUAUCAUGAAUAGGUUCUUGGAGACCACAACUUUAACAGAAACAAUGUAUGAUGAAAGCAAUUGUACCCUAGUCUAAUUUAUGUAAAUAAGAUUUGAUUUCCUAUGGCAUAUUUUUGGUCACAAAUACUUCACAAAGCAUUGUAAAUAAACACCAAAAAGCUUCUAAAAUUAAACAUUGAAAUAAGUGUGAGCUAUACAUACACUUAAGAAAGAUUAAUAAAACAAAUAGAAUAAUUAUUUACCCACUUAUUCUAGUUCAGAGUCGUGGGUGGCUGGAGUCUGUCUCAGCAGCUCAGGUUGCAAGGCGGGAACCAGCAUUGGACAGGACACCGUCCCAUUGCGGCAAGCAGUCUCCACAUCCACACUCACAAUGGGGAUCACCCAGACAGCCAAUCAACCUAAGAUGGACGACAUAGGUGGGAGGAAACUGGAGUACCCAGAGAAAACCCGUGCAAAUGUGAAGAGAACAACAAACUCCUCACAGUGGCUCUGGCUGGGAAUCAAUUUUUUUUGUCAUCAAUCUUAUAAUAAAAGGAUGUUUAACAAAACGACCUUCCUUAUUUGAGGAACUGGCAGGAGAGUGUCUCAACUAAGAAGCUAAAAAGGGAAAGAAAAGAAAAGCAGUUAUGUUUUUUUCCCCUCCGGCCUAUACAAACACAUACACACCAAGAUACAGCAAUUCUGUAGCAAAAAGGCAGAGAAAACAUCAUUGUGGACGCAGGACUCAAAUGUGUUAUCUCAAGAGAUGAUGGAGAAACAUCACCAGAUGGGGCCACCAGAUGAGGCAGAUCGAGUCCCAGAAACAAAUAACAUAAGAGGAAAUGGAUAUGAUGAGGUUCUGAUACGAAACGACAGAAAAUCCCCUCAACAAGGAACUGGUGAUACUAAUUUUUAAAUUUUCCUUGAUGUCAGCAUGUCUCUAAACACAACUCUUUGGGAAAGAACAUAAUUUGUUUAGACAGAUUUUUUUUCCCAUACAGGUAGUAAAUGCAUAGUGAAAAAAAAAGGUCAGAGGGCCGGGCGCAGUGGCUCACGCCUGUAAUCCCAGCGCUUUGGGAGGCCGAAGCGGGCAGAUCACGAGGUCAGGAGAUCGAGACCAUCCCAGCUAACACGGUGAAACCCCCGUCUCCACUAAAAACACAAAAAAUUAGCUGGGCGAGAUGGCGGGCGCCUGUAUUCCCAGCUACUGGGGAGGCUGAGGCAGGAGAAUGGCGUAAACCCGGGAGGCGGAGCUUGCAGUGAGCCGGGAUGCGGCCACUGCACUCCAGCCUGGGUGACAGAGCGAGACUCCGUCUCAAAAAAAAAAAAAAGAAAAAUAAAAAAAUGGUUAGAGAUAUCUUGUCAGAGGUUUUAUUUCCUUUUCUAUUUGGGCUUAAUUUCACAGGUCAUGAAUAAUGGACUAUU